Molecule: long non-coding RNA, 3869 nt
Organism: Diospyros lotus (date-plum)
Lineage: Eukaryota; Viridiplantae; Streptophyta; Magnoliopsida; Ericales; Ebenaceae
Exons: 3
Source: RefSeq, a predicted model, not a curated record
UGUGGAAGCCAUUAUCUAUCCAUCCAUUGAAAUACAACAGAUAUGGAAGCUCAGCAGGUAGAAGAGCAGCCACAAUACAGUUGUUAUCGGCAUCGGCGAGUAAAGUUUCCGGUGAUUCCGAAUUUGGGCUUGCGAGUUCUAGUUAAAGUUCAUCCAGAAUUCUCUUUUUAUUUAUCCUUGAAACAGAAUUGUUAUGAAUAUUGCAGAUGGUUUUUGAUAUCGAUUAGGCCCGAAGUUUCUGUCAUUGCUACGUUUUGAUCCGAGGAAACCAGCCUUAUUACGGCAUAUUCAUAGCUUUCACUUAUCCAACUUGAAACUAGUGCGUGGUUCGUUACCACCUGACUUCCAUUUCAUGAACCCUAGUUUGUUGGUAUUCUUGCUUCCAGAGAAUAUUGUUCUCAUGGUUUCAUGGCAAUUUUACUGAUUUUGACGAAUGUAAAAGUUGAUUCAGUUCCAUACCCUUUUUCUUCUUUUCUUUUCUUUUUUUUUUUCCCCUCCUGAUCGGCAAUUGUUGGUGGAGGGUUUUACUCCGUGGACAAGAGACUUCAAAUCAAAGGGUUUCUUCGGAUCCGCACUUAGGAUUUCUACAAUGAAAUGGCCAAGCUCGUCGGAGAAGUUACAGUAUCAAAUCUGAGCCCAACAUAUACUUUUGAACAUUAUCAGUAGUGAAGAAAAGGAAGAAAGAACAUUAUCGAAGUGAGUUGUGUGGUAUUCCCUCAAAAGGUAGAGUGAGAGUGAAACUAAUUGUUCAUUUUUGUUGUUUCUUCCAUGUCUCAUGCAACAACCUUGAUGGCUAGACUGGAAACCUCUUUCUUUUACCAGUUUUAGAUCAGAGAAAUAUUAUGUGCAGUCCUUAUCGAGCUGGCAAACCAAUUAAUGGCCCCUUGAUGUUAGUGCUUUGUUAUUCACAUAGAAUGUUGUAGCUGCAGAGAGCAAACCUAAAGGAAAGGUCAUGCAAAAUGCUUGUUUGCUGAAAAUUUGUAAUUUAUGUUUAUGUGAAAUGUGUUUUAAUCCAGGAUCUCCAAGAAUCCAACUAGUGACAUAAUUGGGUCAUCAAAAUUUGCCAUCAAAUCUGAUAAAAAUGACUAGGUGAUGCUUAUAUGUGCUAUUUCUUUGGCUUAGACAGAAGAGUAAGAAACUGUCUCGAUGUCACCUUGAAAGGGAACCUAGAGGGACUGAGAAAAACUGUGUUUUGCUUCCUAGUGCACUGGCUAGCCUUAUACUUUGUAAGGACCUUGUUGGCCACAUCAUGGGUCCUCCCCCAACUAAAAUGUGCAGAGACCUUAUGGCAUGGGACUACCGAAGCAUUAUGAGGGCUAGGAAUUGAACCCACGACCUCAAACUUGCAAGGUGAUUUUUUUGAGCCAUCCUACAUUGAACUACCACAUUGGGCUCUGUUAUUUCAUAAUCUUUAAACCUUUCUCAAAUAAAUAACAUAACAAUGACAAUUGAUAACAACAACAAUGUAUCAAGCCUUUAUCCCACUAUCUAGGGUUGGCUUUUGAAAUAAAUAACGUGAUGGUGAAAUAAAUAACAUCAAGAAAAAGGUUUAGACAAACUGCUUUACAUUUUAUGUUACAGGUGUGAUCUAAUUUCUUAGAACUGUAUGUCAUAAUUCUAAUGGCAUAGUUUACUUUCCACAGGGAAGCAUGGUGGAUGACAGUUCACUUAUUUGUGUCAGUUCUCAGAGAUGGAAAUUGUGAUUGACUGAAUAAAUUGUGGUUGAGUUUCUGUUCUUAUACCUCAUUCUUUGCAAAUUGUUCCCUGCUCAUAUUAUACCUGAUGUGUAUGUAGAUAAAUUUGUUCCCUUUGCAAAUUGUUCCCUGCUCUCAGAUGUUGGUUUCUACUCCUUGUACGUCCGAAACUGUUUCUUUCCAUCCAUCAUUGCAUUGUUGAUUUAGCUGCAUGCACAUCUAACUGCAUAGUUUUUAUCUGCAAUUUCUCUCUGCCACAAGGGCUUCCAUACCAGCCACUGCGUGAAAUGUUGCAUGAAUCUUGUAGGAAUGAGAGAUUAGAUUCAUUGCAAUAAGGAAGAGUAUGAUGGAAGGAACGAGUAAGCCCUGAGAUGGAAUGUGAUAGUUUAUCCUGUGCAAAUACAUAAAAAACAUGAAGGUGCUACACGUAAAUUAUUACUUCUUUUUGCUUAAGACCUUGACUGCUCAAAUUCUUAUCUCCAGGCAAGGUCACUAUUAAACCAUCAAAACAACUUAUUGAUUGAUAUUUUUUUUAUUUUUUGCUUGAAAUUGAUUGACAUUAUUAAUACUACUACUAUUAGGGUUUUUAACAAAGAAACAAAUUGUGAAUUUUUUUUUUCGGUCCUGGCAACUAAUUCUCUUCCUUACUGGUCUGGACAAAUGUACCCAUAAGGGUUGCAAUUUUCUGCCCACAAUCCUGACCUCAAGAUGCUAAAUUUCCAAUUUUUGCCCCCACCACACCCCCCCCCCCAAAAAAAAAAACUCCCUUUUUCCCUCUAUGUUGGCACAUCAAGGCACAUAUACCUUAGAUUUCAGCCCCUUGUUGCAACCUUUUGUCUCCAAUCAGCGAUGCACUAUAACAUGCUUUGAAUUGACAUUUUUUUGUCAACUAUCCCCUUUGUAGAGCUAUAGGGAAUUCAAAAUUGAAAAGAUGAAGAAGCCCCAUACGCCCACCUCAUACCUAUGUGUCCCUAGACUAUAGUUGAGCAAUAGCCUCAUGUUUCAUGCUGCUUAACCUUCACUCUUCUCUGUUUUAGCCUAUCUAUAGGGAGUAUUCCUCUUUUCUCCAUUAUUGCCUGUGCAUAUCUAGAGCUCAAUUUAUUUGUAAGUAAAACCCUUAUCCCAAAUGAUAAAAUUUCUUAUGAUUAAAAAGCUGCCUGACCCCCCCCCCCCCCCCCAAAAAAAAAAAAAAAAAAGAAAUAAAGAAAAAAAAAAACUUAGCAUUUUUUGUUAUUGUCUCUUACAAAUAUAUAGUUAAUGGUUCAGCCAACCAAGAAUUUCCAAUGCCUAUUGUAAUUUGUCAAACCAAUGAAAUUUCUUUCUACUAAACUCUGUUGUCUCCCUGCAAGUAUUGUUGGAUAAGCUCUGUUAUUAAUUUGAUUUCUUUUUCAUUUCAUUUUUCUACUUUAUCUUGGUUUGUUUGUGUAUUUAUUUCUCCUUGCAUUUCUUGUAGAAUUCAAAAAACUACGUAUAAAAACAGAAUAUGCUUUGUGAGAAAGGGUCAAUUAUGGUUAUAUUACAAGAUCCAGAACACAUAUUUCUGUGGAACCAAUGUUGGUAAGUACAUAAAUUUGACAUCCAAACCACAUUUCUUGGAAGAAAGAGAAACAGAGACAGACGUCUCCUUGCUGCCCUGAUAAAGGGCAGGGGUUAUGUAUAAGCUUGUGGUUUUAUGAACUUGAAUAGAGCAAGGAAAGCUGCUAAGUUAAAUCAUGCUAAGUAUCGCCAAUCCAAACUGUUGUUCAUAUUUUAGCUUGUGGUUUAUUGAUGCCAGUUGAACUUCUCAUAAUGCCUGAUCAUACCAUCUAGUCCAUAUUCCUUGAGCUUUCCUGCUUUGAUAUGCAGGUAUUUUGCGUUCCGUGGUACAGAAGCGCCUUAUGCAGAGAUUGACCAUGCGGGCUCGAAACUCCGGUUGUGCUUUUUUCUAAGACUCCAGUAAGUGGGCAAGUGCAGAGAAAUCUAGGUUUUGACCUUCUCAUUGGUGAGGUUGAUGAUGGUUUUUGCUUAUGCCUUUCUCUUUAGCCAGGUGGACACUUGAUUACAUUAAUCCUGUCUGUAAGAUUUAUCAUCAAUUUCAUUCAAAACUUACUGGAAAUUUCCGAAAUUUUUUUGGUUCUUCUCCUAGAAUCGAGAUCUCUUUUGAGGUUCCAUAAACAAAACCUCUGGUUAAGAAAA